Molecule: ribosomal RNA, 722 nt
Filed under: Streptococcus thermophilus
Lineage: Bacteria; Bacillati; Bacillota; Bacilli; Lactobacillales; Streptococcaceae
Description: bacterial SSU rRNA
Rfam family: Bacterial small subunit ribosomal RNA
Source: RNAcentral
ACUUGGCCCUCCAGACCGUCUUCUCUGCAGUAGCACGCUGUACUAGAGGAGCUUGCUCUUCUUGGAUGAGUUGCGAACGGGUGAGUAACGCGUAGGUAACCUGCCUUGUAGCGUGGGAUAACUAUUGGAAACCAUAGCUAAUACCGCAUAACAAUGGAUGACCCAUGUCAUUUAUUUGAAAGGGGCAAUUGCUCCACUACAAGAUGGACCUGCGUUGUAUUAGCUAGUAGGUGAGGUAAUGGCUCACCUAGGCGACGAUACAUAGCCGACCUGAGAGGGUGAUCGGCCACACUGGGACUGACACACGGCCCAGACUCCUACGGGAGGCAGCAGUAGGGAAUCUUCGGCAAUGGGGGCAACCCUGACCGACCAACGCCCCGUGAGUGAAGAAGGUUUUCGGAUCGUAAAGCUCUGUUGUAAGUCAAGAUCGGGUGUGAGAGUGGAAAGUUCACCCUGUGACGGUAGCUUACCAGAAAGGGACGGCUAACUACGUGCCAGCACCCGCGGUAAUACGUAAGUCCCGAGCGUUGUCCGGAUUUAUUGGGCGUAAAGCGAGCGCAGGCGGCUUGAUAACUCUGAAGUUAAUGCGCUGUGGCUCCACCUUACUUCGCUUUGGACACUGUCAAAUUUGAGUGCAGAAGGCGACAGUGGAAUUCCAUGUGCACCCGGUGACACGCCGCAGAUAUAUGGAAGGAACACCGGUGCGCGAAUGCCGCUCUCUG